GAAGUUAGCGGCGGACGGGUGAGAAACACGUGGGUAACCUGCCCAUAAGACUGGGAUAACUCCGGGAAACCGGGGCUAAUACCGGAUAACAUUUUGAACCGCAUGGUUCGAAAUUGAAAGGCGGCUUCGGCUGUCACUUAUGGAUGGACCCGCGUCGCAUUAGCUAGUUGGUGAGGUAACGGCUCACCAAGGCAACGAUGCGUAGCCGACCUGAGAGGGUGAUCGGCCACACUGGGACUGAGACACGGCCCAGACUCCUACGGGAGGCAGCAGUAGGGAAUCUUCCGCAAUGGACGAAAGUCUGACGGAGCAACGCCGCGUGAGUGAUGAAGGCUUUCGGGUCGUAAAACUCUGUUGUUAGGGAAGAACAAGUGCUAGUUGAAUAAGCUGGCACCUUGACGGUACCUAACCAGAAAGCCACGGCUAACUACGUGCCAGCAGCCGCGGUAAUACGUAGGUGGCAAGCGUUAUCCGGAAUUAUUGGGCGUAAAGCGCGCGCAGGUGGUUUCUUAAGUCUGAUGUGAAAGCCCACGGCUCAACCGUGGAGGGUCAUUGGAAACUGGGAGACUUGAGUGCAGAAGAGGAAAGUGGAAUUCCAUGUGUAGCGGUGAAAUGCGUAGAGAUAUGGAGGAACACCAGUGGCGAAGGCGACUUUCUGGUCUGUAACUGACA
Molecule: ribosomal RNA, 672 nt
Filed under: Bacillus sp. B28
Lineage: Bacteria; Bacillati; Bacillota; Bacilli; Caryophanales; Bacillaceae
Description: bacterial SSU rRNA
Rfam family: Bacterial small subunit ribosomal RNA
Source: RNAcentral